Molecule: non-coding RNA, 2609 nt
Organism: Arachis ipaensis
Lineage: Eukaryota; Viridiplantae; Streptophyta; Magnoliopsida; Fabales; Fabaceae
Source: RefSeq, a predicted model, not a curated record
GACCCUAUCUUCAGCCUUUCCUUCAAAUAGGCACUCCCAGGAGUGUCAUCGUUGUUCAUAGUGGCCCUCUUCUCGAACUGCUCCUCACGUUAGUGGGUUUGGUAUUCUCUUUCUUGAAUUCCUGUUGUAUUUAACUUUUUCCCCCUUUUUUGCAGAUGACAAGUCAAGCGGAUAAUUAGGUCAGAUGUUAGUUUCUUCUCCCUUUAGAAAGUCUUGGAAAAAUGAAGAGAAACUUGUUCAUCCCAACUCAUGCUACAUAAAAUUUUGCCCAUUUCCAGAGGAUAGGGUUUACAAAAAGUUUGGUCUAUUCAUCAUGACAUGUCUUCCAGCAGAGGCUGAGAAACUGGAACUUGAUAUUCAUCUUGCUGAUGGUAGAUAUGUUAUAUCAACAUUUGUUCCAUUUGGAGUAGUAGAAUUCGACAAAGAUGAGAUUAAGAUGGCUAAACAUCUUUAAGAGAUGUUCCUUAAAAUUAUUCUUGACCGAUCAGAAUUUGCGUCUAAUUGUGUAACCCUAGGCAGUUCAAGAGGUUGUCUGCUUCGGAAUUAACAGAUUUUGGAUGAUUUCUUAUUAUGAGUGGUGGAUUCAUUCUUCUGCAGAAGACAGGUCUUCUGAUUCUCUACUCCUAUUAUCGUAUGUUAUACCACUAUUUUUUUGUUGAUUAGGUAUACUGCUAUAUACUGAAUUUGUUUUAGUCAUCCUGAAAAUCACGCUGCCUCAGAUAUCAGCUUAAUAUAUCAUAUGAUUCCGUGGUCAAGGACCAAUCAAAUUAUAUGUGGUCUUCAAUGUUUUAGAGAUGAGCAUUUUCGUAAUACAUAAAUCUCAGAUAUAGGGAAUAAGUAGUUCUCUAUAUGUCGAUCCGUAUUGUCAAUUUUCAAUCAAGAGUAAUGUUAAUGUGAGGAAGAUACUGGCGUGACAAUGGAAGGGAAAUAAUUCAACUCUGACAUCAGUAUCAAUAUGCUAUGCUAUCUCCAUGUUUUUAUUUUUCAUAUGGUAAGAUAUGUGAGUGGCAGUAUCCCUGCUCUUCCAAAGAAGUAAAUUCACCAUUUGGUUUUGUAUCAAACCUGAAUUAGUACCUUUUGGCAGGAAAAUGAUCCACUUUAAUUAUAGGUCAACUCAUAAUAAAUUAUUCUUCUUCUCCUUUAUCCUCCUUCUUUCAAUGUUGACCUGAGGGAAACACAACACAAUCCCUUGGCCAUAGGGGGAAAGAAGAAAACAAGAAAGACAGAAAGAGCCACAAAAAUCAAUAUCACCGCCAAUCAUCAUCUUGUUGGAAUCCAAUCUAAUUCAAUAAAAUAUCACACGUAAUUGUAUAUUCAUAUCCCUAAUCCUUUCUUAAUUUUUACCCUUUUUCUGAAUCAAUUUUGUCAUACGAUUAAUCAUCAGGAAAUAGGAAUUUCUAUCCAAGUUCUCCUAUUGCUUUAAAGUUAUAUUUUUUGUUAGUUUGUUUCACUUAUGUUGCUUUGUUGUGUUCUUUGAUUGCAAUAAUAAUUUACAACUUUUAUUGGGAAUUUGGAUUGAUUUGUAUAGACCAAUAUUGGAAAUUUUUUACUGGUUUUUGCGUGACCAAUUAUGGGGAAGCCAACAGGGAAAAAGAAAGAUCAUGAAAGUCCCAAGGCAAAAGAAGCUAAGGUUCCUGCUAUUAAUAAGACUAUGGACCGUAGCGCCUCAAAGGCCCUUGAUGAUGACACUGCCAUGUUCAUCAACAUGGCACAAUAGCUCAAGGAAGAAGGCAACAGGCUAUAUCAGAAGAAUGAUCAUGAAGCUGCCAUGUUGUAGUUUGCGAAGGCGUUGAAGCUCCCGCCUAAGAGUCACAUUGAUGCUGCACACCUUCACACAAGUAUGGCCGUCUGUUACAUGCAAAUGUGACUAGGGGAGUACCCUCAUGCCAUCAACGAAUGCAAUAUGGCGUUAGAAGUCUCACCUAGAUAUAGCAGGGCUAUGUUGAAGAGGGCAAAGUGCUACGCAGCAUUGAAUCGGUUGGAUUUUGGCAAUGAGGGAUGUUAGGAUUGUUUUGAAUUGGGAACCUAAUAACCUUACAGCAUUUGAGAUCCAGGAUAGUCUGAGAAUUACAAUGGAAGAAAAGGGCAUCACUAUAGAUGAGACUGAGAUUGCUUUGGCUACAAUCGCAGAGCCUCCAGUUGCCCGGUUGCGAAAAGUGGUGAGGGAGAAGCUAAAGAAGAAGAAAGGUCAUCACCAGAAAAGUGACGAGAAGAUGGAAGAGGAUAAGGAGGUUGUGCACAAGGAGGUGGUGCAGACGGAUCAUGUGCAGGAGAAUGUGAAGAGUCAUGUUAAGGAGGAGGAUAAGGAAGUGGUCAAGCACACAACUGAGAAACACAAUUUGGAAGCAAGACCUGUUAAGUGGCGAGAAACUGCGGUUACAAGGACAGUGAAAUGAUAAUUUUCCCAUUCAUAACUUGAGAGAUGUUUUUACAUGUAUUCUUGUGGUGGAAAUGACAGUAAAAAAGCUUUGGAGACGCAUGUAUGGAAACACGGGGUGCAUGUGCUUGACCUUAUAGUAACUAUUACUGACUGGAUAAUUGUGAUUAGUUGACAAAUGCUUAGGUUCAUGUUUCCUUGAAUUAUAAUUUGAUGUUGCUGUCUUUAGUAC